GCGAAUGAUUAUACAUUUUUAACCCCAAGCUACGGCUUUGACGAUUCAAAACGCAACAACAACACUCUAAUUUUUUAAUGACG
Molecule: small nucleolar RNA, 83 nt
Filed under: Penicillium decumbens
Lineage: Eukaryota; Fungi; Ascomycota; Eurotiomycetes; Eurotiales; Aspergillaceae
Description: A. fimigatus snoRNA Afu_298
Rfam family: A. fimigatus snoRNA Afu_298
Source: Rfam by way of RNAcentral